Molecule: ribosomal RNA, 254 nt
Filed under: uncultured bacterium
Lineage: Bacteria
Description: partial 16S ribosomal RNA
Rfam family: Bacterial small subunit ribosomal RNA
Source: RNAcentral
UACGUAGGGCGCAAGCGUUGUCCGGAAUUAUUGGGCGUAAAGAGCUCGUAGGCGGCCAGUUGCGUCUGCUGUGAAAUCCCGGGGCUCAACCCCGGGCGUGCAGUGGAUACGGGCUGGCUAGAGGCAGGCAGGGGAGAACGGGAAUUCCCGGUGUAGCGGUGAAAUGCGCAGAUAUCGGGAGGAACACCGGUGGCGAAGGCGGUUCUCUGGGCCUGUACUGACGCUGAGGAGCGAAAGCGUGGGGAGCGAACAGG